CACGAGGUGAUGACCCAGGCGCGCGGC
Molecule: small RNA, 27 nt
Filed under: Bombyx mori (domestic silkworm)
Lineage: Eukaryota; Metazoa; Arthropoda; Insecta; Lepidoptera; Bombycidae
Description: ovarian small RNA-4673
Source: RNAcentral